This is a long non-coding RNA of Cotesia glomerata, 1024 nucleotides long. RefSeq lists it as uncharacterized. The record is from RefSeq and is a predicted model, not a curated record. The transcript is spliced from 7 exons. NCBI's taxonomy places the organism in Eukaryota, Metazoa, Arthropoda, Insecta, Hymenoptera, Braconidae.
CUUUAUUAUAAAUAAUAAUAAACAUUUUGCGGCAGUUUGAACUUCCGAGUCAGCUUUCAUCUAAUGCGCAGUACGAUUCCAGUUUGAAAACAACUACGGCGUUUAAGCGGUUAGCCAAGCGUCUCUCCAUUGAUCAAUAAAACUGUUGUCUGCUACAAAUACAAAAAAAGAAUAAAAUGGACUUCCGAAGGAUGUGCAGUGAAUUUCAGGAUGAGGAAGACCCAGAUAAAAUUCCAUCUACUGGACGCCGAAUUCUGGCUGAAAUUUAGGUUCUUGAAGUAUGCAUAAACGGACCAACAGAUUCUUAGAAAAAUAGUCCGGGUUAAUAUAAAAAAACGUUCCCGCCUUACCAACGCCAGAAACUGAGGGUGGAAAAGCUGUCACGGAAAAAUAAAGCUUUUCAUUGAAAAUCUCGUGCUACUGCCAUCUAACGAAGCUUUUGUGAAACCGAGAGAUUACCGAGUCAAGAUUCUAAUGGACAGCGACAAGUAAUGUCCCGGUGAGCCGGAUACUAUUGUGAACCGGAGGAAGAAUGCGUCUGGAGAAAAAGAGAAUCGGAGACGAGGAUGAGCACCUUGGGUUACUACCGGCAGAGAGGGAACAUAAGAUGAACCGGGUAAGGGUAAGAGUGGGAAACAUUCACCGAUCUUUACUAUAUAUAUUUUAUUUUGAAAACCAGUAGAAAGAAAACGAUUAAAAAAACCUCGAUCUGGAGAAAGUAGGCUGACCAUCACAUCCAAUCGCUUACCGAUACGAUCAUCUUCACAAAACCUCACCUUGAUCUUCCUUCUAUUGUCAAUCACCGUCUCUCGCUUAAUUGCAAUUACACUGUUGGUUUUUUUGGUUCUCACGGUGGUAUUAUUAAUUACUAUUACACCUAAUCGCAACUUGUUACGUAAAUACUUUAUUUUUUAAUCGACUUUGGUUUCUUUUCCGUGGACAAAAAAUUAAAAACCCACGUCGCAAUCAAGAAACUUAAAUAACAAUUAUUUUUAAGCAUUCAUUAGAUACAUUAUUUAGUAGU